RNAcentral lists this ribosomal RNA (494 nucleotides) under uncultured bacterium. RNAcentral describes it as "partial 16S ribosomal RNA". It matches the Rfam family "Bacterial small subunit ribosomal RNA", at positions 28 to 507 of the family's 1533-position model. The record is from RNAcentral.
GACGAACGCUGGCGGCGUGCUUAACACAUGCAAGUCGAACGGUGAAGCGCCUUCCUUUUUGGUGGGUGUGGAUGAGUGGCGAACGGGUGAGUAACACGUGAGUAACCUGCCCCCUUCUUCUGGAUAACCGCAUGAAAGUGUGGCUAAUACGGGAUAUUCUGGGUCUGUCGCAUGAUGGGUCUGGGAAAGAUAUUGUUUCGGUGGGGGAUGGGCUCGCGGCCUAUCAGCUUGUUGGUGGGGUGAUGGCCUACCAAGGCGGUGACGGGUAGCCGGCCUGAGAGGGUGGACGGCCACACAGGGACGGAGACACGGAGCAGACUCCGAGGGGAGGCAGCAGUGGGGAAUAUUGCACAAUGGGCGCAAGCCUGAUGCAGCGACGCCGCGUGAGGGAUGGAGGCCAUCGGGUUGUGAACCUCUUGCGGGAGUGAAGCAGGCCUGCCUCGUUUGUGGGUGGGUUGACGGUAGCUGGAUAAGAAGCGCCGGCUAACUACGUG